Cebus imitator (Panamanian white-faced capuchin) is the source of this 686-nucleotide long non-coding RNA. RefSeq lists it as uncharacterized. The record is from RefSeq and is a predicted model, not a curated record. The transcript is spliced from 4 exons. NCBI's taxonomy places the organism in Eukaryota, Metazoa, Chordata, Mammalia, Primates, Cebidae.
GCAGCACGGGCCUGGGACAUUCCUCCCUCUAGUGGUAGGCAAAGCUCCUUCGGGGGCACUUUCUUGCUUCAUCUGAAACUGUGCAAAGAGUGAUCAAAACAGGAAGAGGCCUAUCAGUUGUCUGUGUAAGAACCAACCAAAAGUUCAAGACUCCUUCCCGCUCCAAGCUGCCGGUGGUAGUUCAUAGAAUGGCAAAGGCCCUGUGUGACUCUCUCGGCAGCCUCUCCCCCAGCUUGCCCAUCGGCUCUCUGUCACACUGCAGCAGUGGCUUUAGCUAGUUGGGAAACCCCGAGAUCAAUAUUAACUGCUCAGUGAGCAACCACAGUCUGUGAAAACUGCAGUAAGAUGAAUGCAGAAAAUGUGCGAUGACAAGGCCGCAGAGACAGAGUGAAGGGAACAAGCUCCUUGGGGGUGCGGAUCACAUAUCUGGAUUUUUCAUGUUCAUUGAACAGGAAAUUGCUCUGUGUCCAUUCCAAGUAUUUCUAGAAAGCAGUUGCUGUCCACAUGAAGAGAAGACCUUGCUUUGUUUUCUUUAGAAUUUUUCCAGGAGUUGUUCACUGUUUUAGGAAAUCGUGUUAGCAAUGUCAACAUCACUCAUGGAAUUCGAGCUCCCAGUACUGUACACCUGGAUGAGCCUGCCCUGGUGGCUGCCACAUUCACUGCCGUUCCAGGGUCUCACUGUCACC